UUCCACAUGCGCAUUUAUAAUAAUAAUAAUAAUAAUUAAUAAUAAUAAUUAAUAAUAAUUAAUGAGGGUGACGGGGGGGCGGCGCCGCCCGCGCCCCCAAUGCACUAAAACUGCACCUGCUGGCCUUGGGGACAGCGGGGACACGGCGGGGACACGGCCCGGCCAUGAUUGUCACCGCGCCACCACGGCCCGUGCCACCGGGCCACCCCGGGCCGUGUCCCCAGUGUCACAUCCCGGUGUCACAGCUCCAAUGUCACAUCCUGGUGUCACAUCUUGACGUCACAUCUUUGGUGUCACAUCCCAGUGUCACGUUCCGGUGUCACAGCUCCGAUGUCACAUCCUUGGUGUCACAUGGUGUCACAUCCUGGUGUCACAUCUGUGGUGUCACAUCCUGGUGUCCCAUCCCAGUGUCACGUUCCGGUGUCACAGCUCCAAUGCCACAUCCCAGUGUCACACUCUGGUGCCACAUGUCGGUGUCACGUCAUCUUGGUGUCACGUCUGUGGUGUCACAUGCCAGUGCCACAUCCGUGGUGUCACAUCCAUGGUGUCACAUCCCGGUGCCACAUCCGUGGUGUCACAUCUCGACGUCACAUCCCAGUGUCACAGCUCCAAUGUCACAUCUUGACAUCACAUCCCGGUGUCACAUCCGUGCUGUCACAUGGUGUCACAUCCCGGUGUCAAAUCUCGGUGCCAGAGCUCCAAUGUCACAUCCCGGUGUCAUAGCCUUGGUGUCACAUCCCUGUGCCACAUCCCUGGUAUCACAUCUUGACGUCACAUCCCAGUGUCACAUCUCCAAUGUCACAUCCUGGUGUCACAUCCCAGUGUCACAUCCUUGGUGUCACAUCCCGGUGUCACACAGUGUCACAUCCUUGGUGCCACAUCCCAGUGCCACAUCCCAGUGUCACACCCCUGGGACCCAGCCCUGCGAUGUCACAUCUGUGAUGUGUCCCCAAGCCACCGCUCCAAGUCCUUCAGCGCCGUGUCCCCACUGUCACAGCCGGGGGACAUCUCUGUGUCACCUCCUGGAAACAUCUCCAUGCCACGUCCUGGUGCCAUCUCUGUGUCACAUCCUGUGUCACCUCCCAGUGCCAUCUCUGUCCUGUGUCACCUCCUGAUGCCACCUCCAUCCUGUGUCCCCUCCCGGUGCCAUCUCUGUCCUGUGUCCCUCUGUCACGUCCUGGUGCCAUCCCUGUGUCACCUCCCAGUGCCACCUCUAUCCUGGUGCCAUCUCUGUCCUGUGUGCCUGUGUCACUUCCUUGUGCCAUCCCUGUGUCACUUCCUGGUGCCAUCUCUGUCCUGUGUCACAUCUUGGUGCCAUCCCCGU
Molecule: RNA transcript, 1324 nt
Organism: Prinia subflava (tawny-flanked prinia)
Lineage: Eukaryota; Metazoa; Chordata; Aves; Passeriformes; Cisticolidae
Exons: 3
Source: RefSeq, a predicted model, not a curated record